Molecule: long non-coding RNA, 242 nt
Organism: Pomacea canaliculata
Lineage: Eukaryota; Metazoa; Mollusca; Gastropoda; Architaenioglossa; Ampullariidae
Exons: 3
Source: RefSeq, a predicted model, not a curated record
AGAGACAUCCGAUGAUUUACUUGCACUAAAACUAACAUCAAUGGCCGCGACUGUGCCUUUCAUCAGCGUUGCCAUGACAUUUGGGUGCAUCCUCCUGUUUGGAUAUGUGACACUUGGUGACAGUGAAAUCUGCUAUCAAGGAUUCACUGGACUGGACAGUGGAGGUAGCUGUACGUUUAACAAACGUCAUUGCUGUGACUGGAAAAGUAGUGGAGUCAAAACAAAAUGGAAAGUCACCAUGA